This 303-nucleotide ribosomal RNA is filed under the name Triticum aestivum (bread wheat). RNAcentral's name for it is "partial small subunit ribosomal RNA". The record is from RNAcentral. Lineage: Eukaryota; Viridiplantae; Streptophyta; Magnoliopsida; Poales; Poaceae.
AUGGGGAACUGCGCGCCAUCGCGGCACGCCGGGGAGUCGUGGGCCGACGACGGCGAGUGGGAGGAGGCGUCGUCCACGUCCGAGGACGGCGACCACCACCACGCAUCGGAGGUGACGAUCAGGAUCACCAAGAGGCAGCUGCACGAGCUCAUGGAGAGGAAGACGCCCGGCGGCCGGGGUAGCAGCACCCGGCAGCUGCUGGCGGACAUCAUGGACUCCGGGGAGGUGCACCACCAUGACGUGCACCGGGAGGAGCACUGGAGGCCCGCGCUGCAGAGCAUUCCGGAGGCCGUCGAGUCGUGA